Molecule: long non-coding RNA, 1492 nt
Organism: Pantherophis guttatus
Lineage: Eukaryota; Metazoa; Chordata; Lepidosauria; Squamata; Colubridae
Source: RefSeq, a predicted model, not a curated record
GGAAACGGGCCGGCAGCGAAGGAGGUUCUUGCUCCUCUCGCCGGACUACCGCUCCCAUCAGCCCCGCCAGCAAUAUGGGCUUGGAAGUCUCCCCGGUCUGUGUGUGUGUUAUAAAGCGCUGUUAAUACUUCACCUCGUUUCCAUAUUCCGUGCUCAUCCAAAGAGAAGCGGGUGGAGGACCAGGGCCGCUUUCUGAAGGCCCCGCCUGGACAUCCUGCAGCCGCUUUCGGUCCCCACGUUACAAAGAGGCGGUCGAGACUUUGGGGAAAGUUUAGAGAAGAGCAACUAAGAGGCUCGAAGGCCUGGAGACCAAGAGGUACGAAAAACAGCUGCAGGAUUUGGGCCCGGCUGGUCUAGAGAAGAGAAGGACCAGGAGAGCCAUGAGAGCAGUUCCCCAGUAUUUGAGGGGCCGCCGCAGAGAGGAGGAAGGGGGCCCAGCUAUUCUCCAAAGCACCUGAAGGCCAGACAAGGAACAACGGAUGGAAACUAACCAAGGACAGAAGCAACCUGGAAUUAAGGAGAAACUUCCUAACAAAAGAGGACAAUUGACCAAUGGAACUGCUUGCCACCAGAAAUUGUGGGUGCUUCAUCACUGGAGGUUCCUAAGAAGAGUCUGGACAGCCACUUGUCUGAAGUGGCAGAGGGUCUCCUGCUUGAGCAGGGGGCUGGACUAGAAGACCCUCAUGGUCCCUUCCUGCUCCAUUCUGAUACGAUCUACAUUUUAACAGGACCAGGUUACCCAACUCUUUGCCCUGGAGAAACAUGGCCGCUGCAGAGGCAGUGGGGACACUGCACACGCGCACACCACAGCCCACUGGCAGGCCCGGCCAAGGGACACCCGUGAAAUAAUCCAGCCCCAAGUAAAUCCUCCCCCCAACAUAACAGGAAAGGAAAAGAAAAAAACAAAGUUAGGAACAACAUUGCAACAAACAGCCAGUCAUGAAUGAAUGAAUGAAUGCCCUUCUUUCUAUGGAAUUGAGCUGAAAAUGGGCACUUUUUAAAAACCCUGCAGAUACUUUGACCAAGGAGCUCGGCCACAGUGCAACUGCUCUCCGUCCUUCUCCGACAAAGAGAGACACAGAGGUGUUUGUACGUCAAAUAUCCAAGCAAACUAUUUUCAGCUCCUUGCAACAUCUUUUUCCUUCUCCAGCCGAGAAAGGGCCAGCGAGAUAUCUUCCAACUUCUUGCACCCAAACAUUUGAGAGGCAGAAGAACCAGCCACCUUCUAGUUUUAAACAUUUUUUUAGUUUUACAUCUGCCGGUUGAAAUGCAACAUCUCUCUGCCACCAGAUGACUCCCUUCUCAGUUUCGUAACUGUUCUCAGGCUGCCCGCCCUUGGCAGAUUGGGGUAAAGGAGAAGCUUGCUGCCCCUUCCCUUCUCUGUACAAUCUGACCCCUUUUUAAAAGUCCCUUUCCUUCCAUUUUUCCUUCUUUCUCCUCAAAAUGGGUGGCAAACGGGCCGGUGAUAAUACAGAUAAUUUCUUUAACUGAA